AUGUUCAUAGAGGUCUAGAUGUUCAUAGAGGUCUAGGUGUUCACAGAGGUCUAGGUGUUCACAGAGGUCUAGGUGUUCAUAGAGGUCUUGAUGUUCAAAGAGGUCUAGGUGUUCACAGAGGUCUAGAUGUUCACAGAGGUCUAGGUGUUCACAGAGGUCUAGAUGUUCACAGAGGUCUAGGUGUUCACAGAGGUCUAGAUGUUCACAGAGGUCUAGGUGUUCACAGAGGUCUAGGUGUUCACAGAGGUCUAGGUGUUCACAGAGGUCUAGGUGUUCACAGAGGUCUAGGUGUUCACAGAGGUCUAGAUGUUCACAGAGGUCUAGGUGUUCACAGAGGUCUAGAUGUUCACAGAGGUCUAGGUGUUCACAGAGGUCUAGGUGUUCACAGAGGUCUAGGUGUUCAUAGAGGUCUAGGUGUUCA
Molecule: long non-coding RNA, 421 nt
Organism: Acanthochromis polyacanthus (spiny chromis)
Lineage: Eukaryota; Metazoa; Chordata; Actinopteri; Pomacentridae
Exons: 3
Source: RefSeq, a predicted model, not a curated record